UGACGGGGCCGCACAAGCGGUGGAGCAUUGUGGUUUAAUUCGAUGAUACGCGAAAGACCUUACCCGGGCUUGACAUGCAUCAGACAGGCGUAGAGAUACGCCCUCCGCGAGGCUGGUGCACAGGUGCUGCAUGGUUGUCGUCAGCUCGUGUCGUGAGAUGUUGGGUUAAGUCCCGCAACGAGCGCAACCCCUACCGUGUGUUACCAUCAUUAAGUUGGGGACUCGCACGGAACUGCCGGUGAUAAACCGGAGGAAGGUGGGGAUGACGUCAAGUCCUCAUGGCCCUUAUGGGUAGGGCUUCACACGUCAUACAAUGGUCGGUACAGAGGGUUGCCAAGCCGCGGGGCGGAGCCAAUCCCACAAAGCCGAUCGUAGUUCGGAUUGUUCUCUGCAACUCGAGAGCAUGAAGUCGGAAUCGCUAGUAAUCGCAGGUCAGCAUACUGCGGUGAAUACGUUCCCGGGUCUU
RNAcentral lists this ribosomal RNA (466 nucleotides) under uncultured Leptonema sp. RNAcentral's name for it is "bacterial SSU rRNA". It matches the Rfam family "Bacterial small subunit ribosomal RNA", at positions 911 to 1382 of the family's 1533-position model. Lineage: Bacteria; Pseudomonadati; Spirochaetota; Leptospiria; Leptospirales; Leptospiraceae. The record is from RNAcentral.